This 301-nucleotide ribosomal RNA is filed under the name uncultured bacterium. RNAcentral's name for it is "partial 16S ribosomal RNA". It matches the Rfam family "Bacterial small subunit ribosomal RNA", at positions 509 to 807 of the family's 1533-position model. The record is from RNAcentral.
CAGCCGCCGCGGUAAUACGUAGGUGGCAAGCGUUGUCCGGAAUUAUUGGGCGUAAAGGGCUCGCAGGCGGUUUCUUAAGUCUGAUGUGAAAGCCCCCGGCUCAACCGGGGAGGGUCAUUGGAAACUGGGAAACUUGAGUGCAGAAGAGGAGAGUGGAAUUCCACGUGUAGCGGUGAAAUGCGUAGAGAUGUGGAGGAACACCGGUGGCGAAGGCGACUCUCUGGUCUGUAACUGACGCUGAGGAGCGAAAGCGUGGGGAGCGAACAGGAUUAGAUACCCCCGUAGUCCCUGUCUCUUAUAC